Molecule: long non-coding RNA, 662 nt
Filed under: Helianthus annuus (common sunflower)
Lineage: Eukaryota; Viridiplantae; Streptophyta; Magnoliopsida; Asterales; Asteraceae
Description: hypothetical non coding rna
Source: RNAcentral
GAUCUCUCCCAUUCUCUCUCUCUCUCUCAACUCUCUCUCUCUCUCUAAUCACCACUCUAACACCACCAUCACCACCAUAAACAUCCUUCCCUCUUCUCACUCACCACCACUCUAGCCACUGCCUAGAUCCCUCCAAUCUUAGAUCUGUUACUCUGUAAACCCACAUAAUUUUACAACACAAACCCACAAAAAUUUUACAAUUACUUCAACAAAAAGAUUGAUACUUUGAGAUAUACUCAACGAAAUAUGCAUCUAAACACGAAAUCAGCAGUUUAACCGCUCCAAAUUUAAUGAUUUUGACUCAAUUCUCCUGUUCGUACUUCGAGAAAUCAAUGGUUUAGACUCGGUUUUUGCAGAUCGGGAUUCCAGAUCGACGAUUUUUGCAGAUCGGGAUUCCAGAUCAACGGUUUUUACAGAUCGAGAAGGUUUAGACUAGCUUACUCUGAACCGACGGAACUGACCGAUUUGCAGAGCAGGAUUCCAGAUCAGGUACUGGUCUUUAGCUUGCUCAGAUUCUAGAUUGGGAUUAGCUUGCAGUGUUUUGAUCAGUUAUGCGUGAAGAAUAAUGAGGAACACCUGGUGAUGUUAGAGAAAUAUAGAUGAAUUAUUCAAUUAGAGUGGUGAUUAUGGGCAGUGGCUACGGUGAUGGUGAGUGGUGUUAG